UUCAUAAUACUCUACUGUUUAGUUUCUCUUCUUCAUUUUUUUCCCCUUUGAAGUCUUUCAACAAAAAUGGGUGGCAUCAUCUCAACCUUCUUCUCAGCGGACACAAUUCGUCCAAUUUUAUUUUACGUCGGUGGACGAGCAAAGUAUAUAUGGGGUCUUAAAGGUAAUCUCGAUGACUUGCAAACUGAAACGGAGAACUUGAUUGCGAAAAAACUAGAUCUACUGAAUAAGGUUAGGCUUGCCGAACAACAACAGCCUCGUGCCCAACGGACGAGCACGGUGAAACUCUGGUUCGAAAGGGUGGAUCGAAGUGUAACUCUUGUUGAGGGGCUGCAACAAGAAAGAGAUCAAGAGAUUGACAGAUUGUGUCUUGGAGGCUUCUGUUCCAAGGACUUGAUUUCAAGCUACGACUUCGGCAAAAAGGUGGAGAAGUUGAAGGAAGAAGUAAUCAAAUUGAGGGAAAAAGGAGAAGCAAUGAAAGAAGUUUAUGAGGGGUUACCAGAAGGUGCAGCGGUUGCAAUAGCUGUUGACCGAACAAUUGUUGGUCAAGAAUCAAUACUUGACCAAGUUUGGAGAUGCAUCACUGAUCAAAAAAAGAAUAAUGGAAUUAUUGGCUUAUAUGGUAUGGGGGGCAUCGGCAAAACUACUCUGUUAAAACAAGUCAAUAACAAAUUCUGCAGUGAGGAGCAUGAUUUUGAUGUCGUUAUCUGGUCGGUUGUAUCUAGAGAGCCAAACUUGAAGCAGAUUCAAGAGGAUAUUGGGAAAAGGAUAGGCUUCUCAACAGAUUCAUGGCAGAGAAAAAGGUUUGAAGAAAGGGCUUCAGACAUCACCAACACUUUAAAGCAUAAGAAGUUUGUAUUGUUAUUGGAUGAUAUAUGGGAGUCCGAAAUUGAUUUAACCAAAUUGGGCGUCCCUCUUCAGACACUAGAUUCUGGGUCCAGAAUAGUCUUCACAACUCGUUUUGAGGGUACUUGUGGUAAAAUGGGAGCCCAUAAGAAUCGGUACAAAGUGUUUUGUUUGGGAGAUGACGAUGCCUGGAAAUUAUUUGAGGGGGUGGUCGGGAGAUACGUUCUUAACAAGCAUCCCGACAUUCCGAAGUUAGCCGAGGAUGUGGCACGUCAGUGUCAUGGUUUGCCGCUAGCACUCAAAACAGUAGGUAAUGCCAUGGCGAGCAAAGUGUACCCUGAAGAAUGGAAAGAAGCAAUUGAGAUCCUAAGCGCAUCAGCUUCUAAAUUCGAAGAUAUGGAGAAAAAGGUGCUUUCGAGCUUAAAGUUCAGCUAUGAUAGUUUGCCGAAAGAUGAACUUCGAUCUUGUCUCCUGUACUGUUGCUUAUUUCCCGAAGACUCUGAAAUUCUAAAAACCGAGUUGAUAGAGUAUUGGAAAAGUGAAGGAUUUGUGCAUUCUAGCAGCGGGUGGGGGGUUCUUGGUGCUCUCGUUCGUGCAUGCUUAUUGGAGGAAGCAGGUGAUCGUGUAAAAAUGCACGAUAUGAUCCGUGACAUGGCAUUAUGGAUAGCAAAUGAAGUAGAGGAGGAGGAGGAGAACUUUUUGGUUCGUGCAGGAGUUGGAUUAACUGACGCCCCAAAGAUUGAAGAAUGGGAAGGGGUCAAAAGGAUAUCCUUGAUGCAGAACAAAAUUCAAAGUCUACCACAAAUUCCCUCUUGUCCGCGUCUGCAAACAUUGCUUCUGGCGAGUAAUCGUAUUAAGGAGAUCACUGAGAGUUUCUUUCAAUCUUUGCCUUCACUUAGAGUUUUGAGUCUAAGAAGAAAUCGUUCCCUGACUGAACUUCCUGUGGGGAUUUCAAGUCUGGUUUCAUUACACCAUCUUGAUAUGUCUUCUACUAAAGUACGUGGAUUGCCGCAAGAGCUCAAGGCAUUGGUGAAUCUGAGAUAUUUGAACUUGGAGUAUACACGUGGAAUGUCUAGAAUUCCACAGCAAUUAAUAUCAAGCUUUUCAAAGUUACAGGUACUCAGGAUGCUGCGUUGCGGUCGACGUUACCAGCCAAUAGUGGAAGAAGGCAACGUUCUAUCUGCUGAUGCUGAAUCAUUGAUGAAGGAAAUCCACUGUUUGGAACAAUUAAAUCUCAUCACCUUGUCCUUACAUGGUUCGCGUGGUGUUGAAAACUUUCUGAAAUUCCCAAAGCUGCAGAAUAUCACUCAAGCUCUGUCCAUCGAAGACUGCAACAGUCUACCGCUCAAUUUGUUACAUCUAGCAAACAUGGAGCAUCUUGAGGAGUUAUAUAUCGAGGAUAGUAAUUUGGAAGACUGGAAUGUCGACUGCGCGGGAGAGGUACAAAAAAUGCGUAAACUUCACUCGGUUCUCAUACGGAAUUGCUCAAAUGUGAAGGACUUGACGUGGCUUGUUUUUGUUCCAAAUCUCAAGUGGCUGCGAAUAGUUGGUUGUGAUGACAUGGAAGAAAUAAUCAGUGUUGAAAAAUUUGAAAAAUUGAGUGAAGUUUCAGAGAUGAUGGGAGAGCUUAACUUGUUCUCAGAACUCGAACUUCUGGUAAUAAGAAAUGCAAGUAAUUUGGAGCGCAUCUACCGCGAUCCCUUGCCCUUUCCACAGCUGAACCGAAUUAGCAUAUUGAAAUGCCCAAAGUUGAAGAAGCUCCCACUCAAUUCCAGCAGCGCAAAGGGACGUAAAAUUGCCCUUGCGGGACAGAAAGAAUGGUGGGAAGAGCUACAAUGGGAGGAUCAAGCCACUCAAAAUGCUUUCUCUCCCUGUUUCCGACCUAUUGAAGAAUAAAGUGCGAUAAGGCACAAAAGUGUGAAUAAAAUUUCUGCGCGUGCUUAAUGAUUAUCUUGUCUAUCUAUUUCAUUUAAUUUAAAAGUUUUCUACGGAGUUGCAUGUGUGUCACUUGUCAUUCUUCUGUACUGCUGUUUCCUAUUUCCAGUUAAUAAAAUUUUUUUGUUCUUAGAGUUAGAAAUGCUUUACUUGUAAGGGAGAUUCACAAUUUUCCCAUAUUAUGAUUAAUAUAUUCUUUUUACUUUCCUACUAUUUUGCAUAAUUUUUUAAUAUUAUUUUUAUUUCUAAAUAUAUUUUUAUUCAUAUUUAUUAUAAAUUAAAUAAAUGUAUGAAUAGAAAUAAAAAUAAAAAUAAAAAUUAAGUAUUAAAACAAGAAAUAUAUAUUAUGAUUUGAAUAAAAAAUAAAUAUUUUUUUGUACUUAGAAUGCCAUUUGUCGUGAGCACCUGAAUCCCCAAAGGACUCCCAGCUUCAAGUGGCUUUGACUUAGCUUGCUUUAGCUCCAUUGCACAUACUCACUCACAUGGAGGAAAUGAACAGAACAAGAAACCUCAUCAUGCCGAAUAUGAUAGAUAUGACAAGGCAUUACAUUGUAGGAAGCUCCCGAUUUCUCUAAAAAACUCUGCAGGUUCUCCGCAAUCAAGGCGUGCUCCAUCUUUAACAGAUCACUUCUACCAUUAAGAGAAGGAAGAGAGUUCCUCUCGUGUGACAGUAAAUCCUUACUUAACACAGGAUUGGAGCCAACCAAGAAGGGAAGGCAAUUUCGUUAGAUUAAGAAUCGAAUCACCAUCCAAUAUAGUAGCAUUUGAACCAGAACUCUUGUUAAAUUCUUGAAAUCUCCUGCUUUCAUCAGUCUGUAAGAGAAAUGAAGAUGAGAAUAAUAGCCAGAACCGGAUUAAAUUCAAUCUGGUCUUUUGAAGACUUCUAUAACAACUAAGAGAACCCAGUGUACCGCCUACAGAUACUGUCAGGCUUCUAUCAAAUAUCCCAAACACCAAAAACCAACCAAAUUAAGCUAACAAACCUGCAUGAAUAUCUAAAUUUCAAUGCAUAUGAAACAAACUCCAUGUUCAAUCCACCAAAACUAGCAAAUUUCAAACUUUAUCACUCAUCAUUCUCUCUCUGUCAGCUGUACGAGGCUAUGAGAUCAUGUUAUAAUGUUCAUAUUGAUGCUGAAUGUUUUGCCAGCUUGUCUGAAUUCCAUAAGAGAAUGCAAUGUGCACAUUAUUGUGCCUUGCCCACCAGUAGAUUCUAAACCACAAAAUCAUUCUGUGAAGUAGCUGACGUUUCGCACAUUCUUAUCCCUUACCAUCAAUAUUCUUCUCCUCAAGCUUAGAUCAUGGAAAUUUGAGUGAUAACACGAUCUAAACUUUAGGGGCAUAAAGUAACAUAGAAGCAACAUGGGAUGUUUUAAAAUCUAUUAUAAUUUGCUUAGGCCCCUGAAUAAAAUUAAAACUUGAAAUGAAAUAAAGUAGCAAAAUAAAGAUUGGAGGUCGCAUGCUUGAUAUUUGAUGCUGUCAAAAUUAAUUUGCAGUGCUGAAAUUGCUGCUCCAAUAAAUUUUUCAAUGGGAUUUCCAUAUUUACAACAAAUUUUCAGUAUUGAAACAGGAUUAAAAUCAUAAAGUGUCUUUUAAACAGCAGAGGCAACAAGAUCCUACAGAAAAAGAAGGCAAAAAGUAGUUACAAGCUACAGAAACGCAAAUAUUCUACUGGCCAACUCCCACUAAAUUCGAAGCGAUUCUAAAAUCUCAGCUUGUACUACUACAUCAUUCCUUCUAUGUAGCCCAACUGUACUUCACCCAGAAAUCACAUUUCUUCAUCAGAGAUAAUUUUACAUCAUUCCUUAUCAUUAGGCAUAAGGCUCCCAAUGUUCUUGGAGGAAUUAUGAUGAAUAUGAGGGUUUCAAAAAAGAAAAAAAAAUAUUAUGACAACCUCUAGGCGGAGGAAAUCAGUUUUCUAGGAAUUCGUUAGAUUGGUGAAGUUAUAGAACCUUAGCAAUUUGCUGUAGUUUGGAAUGUUUUUGCCUUUCAUUAUAGCAUUUGCAAAGGCUCAAGGAUAUAGAAGAACCUUGGCUACAAAUUCAGGGAAGAUUUCACUUAUAAUGAGAAAUAAUCACCAUUAUUCUAUACAAUGAGAAAACAGUUAUGGAAGAAAUAGAAAGAAUUACCCGAAACGAAGGAUUUGGAAGACAAUGAGACAAAAGUAUAAAGAAGAAGAAAUUGGAGAUAUAAUGGCUGCCAAUUUCUUUGAUGAACCCAUCAAAAACGGCUUGAAAAUUAAAGAAAUUGUCAAAUGCUGUAACGGAGGAAUUGAAACUGUAAAAGAUGCAAGUUAAUUCAUGGGGCUGGCCAUCUUGAUUGAUUGAACACCUACACGUGACAAGUGUGCGAUAAUCGUUAUAUCUUCAAUUUUAGGCAGUUUUUCAUUUCUUUUAUUUUAAUAGUAAAAAAAUACGCCAUUUUAGAUACAAAUGCCCCUGACUAGCCCUUUUGUAAGUUACAUUGUUUGGUGCGAUAGUCCCGCACGUGCUUGACAUUUGCCGAAUAUCUUAUGCGCAUUUUUUUUCCCCUCUAACUCAUUGUGUAUGCUCAUCUUUAUGUGCGUUAUUACCUAAACUUAUAUACCAAUCAAAAUAAAUCAUAAAGUAUCAAACGCUUUUAAAUGAUUUUUAAUAUUAAAGAACUCACUUUAAUGAUGUUUAAUUGGUAGUAGCCCUUUAUAGUCUUUAAACCUUUAGCAGUGCAAAGUCACAAGCUUUGUCCAGAAUCUAAUGGCGUAGAUUAUAGGCGAUGGGUGCCAUCACCUGGGCAACGACGUACAUCGCUUGGGCGACAAGCCAAUUUACUAGGCUCAUCGCAAACAGCCUUCGUCGCCUGGGCGAUGGCCAAAUCCAUCCAAUAAACUUUCAGCUCAUGUUUGAUAGCCUAAAAAAAGUAGUUAUGGUGACCAUCACACAUCACAUUUUACUGACAAGGUGUCUUAAUUUUCAUAGAAAAUUGUUCCUACUGAUUUUCCAAUCCUGGCCUAAUACUUGCAGAUUAUUAAACGAUUAUGGAAUGGCAGCAAACCGGCGCCGCGGAGGGGGGCCGGCCCGGGGUUGUUGUGCUGAUUUGGGAGGGGUAAUAAACCCUCUGAGGCAAUUUAGCAAACAUAUUAUGUGCCAUGAUUUUAGACCAGUAAUUUUGUCAAUAAUAGCUAAUUCGCAAUCCCAUUACAAAUCUAAUAAUCUAUUGCAUACACGCUCUUGAUGACUUGGAUUCUCAAAAAAUAAUCAUUUUACGCCGCUGAGGCGCAGAAAAAUCAAUUGUGUUGUCCCUUUAUACUUUUUCAUUUGUUUUGCCCACGUCCAAAUAAAACAGAUUCUGGUAAAUGUGAUAAGGAAAUGUUUGUUUCAAUUUCCAACCCAUAUCUCAUAAAGAAUUUCUCACUCAAAUAAAUAAAUAUUAUCCGGUAAUGGUAUGACAUUUAUUUUGAAGUAAACACCGGCACGCCAUUUUCUCAUUUUUUUCAUUUUUUGAGGACACCAUUUUCUCAAUUGAAGAAUAUAUUUUGGCCAAAAUUCACAAUGUUCUCCACAUGAUUUAAAGCACACAGAAUUCACACUUGUCUCCACAUGAUUUAAAAGCACAAGGAAUUCUCUUGACCUUAAUUACGAAUCUUUUUAUGUUUAUUGAAAUCCAAUAUUGUUGACUCAUUGGUGUAGCCAGAAAAUCAUAUUAAUAUAGUAGAAUUUAUAAAUAACCAAAGAAAAAAGUUCACGCUCUUACUUUAUUACUUUUAUAAUUUUAUUAGUACAUCUACUAACAUGUCUUCAUAAAAUAUAGUUUUAAGAGGAUAUUUUUAUGGUUGUAGAUAUUUUUAUUUUUCUUCUUAAUAAUAGAUUUAAUUUUCAUCUUUCUAAUGUUAAGUUGCACAUUUGGACUAAAUCAGAUUAAAUUUCAAAUUAGAUGACAGGCCUUAUUUUAAUAGAUUCAAUUGGAUUUUGGACAUCUAAUUAAACAACUGGAUUAAUAAAUUGCAAAUGAAUGAGAUUUAUAUGUGAUUUUAAAAUAAAAUUUGAACUUAAAUCUAUGUAUUCAAUUAAUCCAACAAGACAAAUUUAUAAUUUCUACCACCUAAAUAAAAUAUGUUAUCAGAAACUUUUGGACCAAGUAGGGGCAGUUCAUCACUUCGUCGGCCUGCUACUACUUAUACUCCUUUCUCAUUCAACUUUCACAUCUUUUAUAUUAUAUACAAACUAGAUUUGUCAUGCAAGUAUUUGACAGAAGAAAUCUCAUUGGAAAUCGGACAACUUCAAGAAAUUCAUUUAUUGAAUUUGUCACAUAAUUGCUUGUCGGUUUAUAAACCAAAAAGGUAUUCCAAAUUAAAAGUGGUAGAGAGCCUAGACUUUUCUUACAACAGAUUAAGUGGUAGAAUUCCUCCUUAAUAGACUGAGCUCAAUUUUUUGAUCUGUCUUCAAGACGUCAUACAACAACUUGUCCAACCUGAUACCAAACAAAGAGCAGUUUGCCACAUUCAAUGAAGGCAGUUAUGGAGGAAAUCUGCAUCUUUGUGGUCCAACAGUUAAUAAGAGUUGCAACAAUGCGGAGGAAAUACCAGCAAUAGAAUCCAAUCGAGGAGAAGAUGAAGAUGAAUGUGCAAUUGAUAUGGUGUCAUUCAGUUGGAGUUUCGGUUCAUCAUAUGUCACAUUCAUCAUGGGGUUUUUCGCGAUACUUUGGAUAAACUCAUACUGGCGCAGAAUGUGGAUCUAUUACAAUCAUGUAUUCACUAGGCCAUACGCGUGAUGUGCUUUUCUGCUAAAACUAGUUCACAAAUGUGAUUUCAUUAAAAUUAGUCUAUACACAUCUUUCCCUUGGCUUUUGUUGGCUCCAACUCCGGACUUUUAUUCAUAUCAUUACUUUAUGUAGUUUCCCCAAAAGGCUUGUGAUGAUUAAUGCAGUUUAUAAAUUAUUACUACUACAAUAAUGAUAUAAUAAAUAAUUUUUUUUAAGUUGUAAAAGUGAGAAAUACUAAAGAGAUCUUUAUUACAUCAUUAAUGUUCGAUCAAGAAUUUCCUCAUCCGAGCUUGCAGUCUGUGGAGGAGACUGUAUCAAUGUCGAAAUUCUCCGGACCGGCACUAUUUGCUGUUUCUCCAUUGAAUAGUGCGUCUUACUACAACAAGGUGAAACACAGCCCAGUGUUCUGAUUGGGCCCAAUGCGAAAAACAUAAAACCCAAAUUUUUGUUGACUUUGGGCCUGCUCAAAUACCAUGCCCAAUUGUGUCUAGUUGUAACAAAAGCGGCGAGAUGUUCAUGCCCAAACCCGCAAGAUUGUUUUAAUAUUUAAAAUUUAACAUGAUUCUAGAAUUUUUGUUAAUAAAAAAUAAACCACCAAGAUUCUAGUGAAUAACAAAUGUAUACAUAUACACGUGCUGUGUAGACCGGGCCAAUUCUUGUGGAAUUCUCCAACAACCAUCCUGAUUCUUGAAUUGCCGCGAAAAUUCCGCAAGCGAUGAACCCUCUCUUACGCACCACUCAUUCUCUAUCACAAUGAUCAAAAUAAAGACGAGGACGGAGACUAUUAAUCACUGAGAGUGAUUUUCUCAAUAUUUGUCAAUCACUACUAAGAUUCAUUGUCAAUCAAUAAUAUCAAUUGACACAAAGAUUGAUUGUCUUUUUUUUUUUUUCGAGAAUAUCAGUGCUUGAAUACAUUAUUUGAUAUAUAUAAUUCAAUGUAAACUCAAUCAUACUCUUAAAUUAUUUUUAUAAAUUCUCAAUAUCAGUCUUUGAUUUUAAUUCGAGUUUUGAUUCAAAUUAAUGCAAGGAUACAAAAGGACUCAAGAGCUUCAUAUAUCAAUUCUAUGUUAUUAACUUAUUAUUUCGGUGUACACCACAAAUUUAUGAGUAAUUUAUUAAAAUGUCUAAACAUAUAUGAAAAAUAGUUGAUUAUUGAUUUUCACAAAUUUCAAUAUAUCAAACAUCCUAUCGAGUUAUUAAUUCCAAAGCACAUUAUUUAAGAAUCAAUGCUAGAAUAAAUUAUUUGAUAAUUUCAAACCCAAAUUUACGCUUAAAUUCUUUAAAUUAUCUCAAUCAACUUUUUUUUUUCUUAGCUGACCAUCUAUAUCAGCUAUUGGAAAAAAAAAUAGAAUUGACGACUACUUGUAUGUUGGCCUAAUUUGAAAGUCAAUCAACAUUUAUUUUCCAUGUAAUGUUAAUGAAGCAUUUCCCUCAUUGGUCCAACAUUGCAACAUGUGGAAUUUCAGGCUUACAAUUCCUCAUUAGUCAUUACAGAUACCGAAAUUGAUUGUCAGACAAUAUUGUCAUUUCAAUAUAUGCCACAAUUUUAUGAGUAAUUUACUAAAAUCUUUAAAUAUAUAAAAUUUGCAUGUGUGUAAUAAACCUGUAUUUAUAUAUAAAAUUUGCAUAUUUAAAUUGCACCUCUCCAUGCAUCAUAUAAAAUGUCAUUUCAAUGUGAUCCACACUUUUAUGAGUUAAUAACUAAAUAUUGUCACUAAAUUUUUCCUAAUUGUUGCAUGCAUUAGAUUUUUUUACGAAAAAAAAAACAUGCUACAUUAAGUGUAAAACAAUUGAGGAAAAGAUUAGAGAACACAAUGAGAAAAGAAAUUUUUUAUACAACCUUUUCAUCAAUAAAAAUCAUAUUCAUACUAAUCAAUUCUUCAUUCCUCUUGGUAUUAACAGACUCUCACAUCCUACAAAAUCUAACCCUUAUCAUCCAACUAUCUUUAUCAUUAUUUAACUCAUGAAGAAAAGAGUACUCCAUGAAGCACACAAUACUAAAAAUUCAAAUAAGUCAAAAAUAAAAAUGCAAGAAUAUUUCUAAGGAGGAUGUUGGUUAAAUAAUAAAAAACCCAAACAUAACAAAUCUUAAAUACUUAAUGUUUAUAGACUUUGAAGAAGUCAAAAGACAUUAAACAAAAUGUUGCAUAAUUAAAUAUGGAAUUAUGACAUUAAAAUUAGGCCCUAAUGGCAUUGGUGAGUGAAGAUGAAGGAACCUUCCUUCCUAUAUUAAUUAGUUGAUGUAUUUUAAGUCACUAAAGUUUAGUUGUUGGCUUAAUAAAAUAAAUGAAUGUUUCAAGACUUAUAAUUAAUUAUUAUUAAUGGUUGCAUAUUAUUGAAUUUAAAUAGAAAGAGGAAGAGACAUGUAAUUUUUUGUAAUCUAAUAAUUAUUUUCUAUUUUGUAAUGUAAUUAUUUUUUAAUCUCAACCAAUAUAUUAGAUAAUAGAGAAUAUAAAAAGAUAAGAAAUAAUGAUGUCACAAAUCUUAAAUACUUAAUGUUUACAGAGUUUGAAGAAGCGAAAAUGCACUAAACAUAAGGUUGCAUAAUUAAAUAUAGGAUUAUGGUAUUAAAAUUAGGCUCUAAUGGCAUUGUUGAGGGAAGAUGAAAGAAACUUUCUUCCUAUAUUAAUUAAUUGAUGUAUUUUAAGCCACUAAAGUUUAAUUGUUGGCAUAAUAAAAUAAAUGAAUGUUUUAAGACUUAUAAUUAAUUAUUAUUAAUGGUUACAUAUUAUUGAAUUUAAAUAGAAAGAGGAAGAGACAUGUAAUCUUUUGUAAUCUAAUAUUUAUUUUCUAUUUUUAAUAUUUUGUAAUGUAAUUAUUUUUUAAUCUCAACCAAUAUAUUAGAUAAUAGAGAAUAUAAGAAUAUGAGAAAUAAUGAUGUCACAUCACCUCUUGUAGUCCCAACUCUCUCUCUCUCUCUCUCUCUCUCUCUCUCUCUCUCUCUCUAUAUAUAUAUAUAUAUAUAUAUAUAUAUAUAUAUACAUACAUAUUAUUUUCUAAAAAGUAUUUCUAAUUGUUUAACGUUUUAUUUAUGAGUAUUUUUAAGAGUUUAAAAAAUAUGGGAAACAGAAUCAAUUUUAUCAAAUAAAAAGAAUAUUGGUCAUUUUCUUCAUAAAGAAAGUGUUAAAAUACUUUUGGUAUUUAAGAAGUAACAAUUUUUUUUUUUGUUUCAUAAAAAAAGCAUUCAAAAUUAUAUUAAAUAAAAUUAAAGAUUAACAAAACUGACGUCUGAAUUUCGUGUAAAUUAUAAUAAGUUUAUCUCCAGCAUGAAUGACAUUAUAGCGUGGCUAGCAUCAUCAAAAUUCUGGUAACAUUCCAAGGUUGUCAAACUAAUCAUCUCAAAAUGUCAUUAUACUUGUAGCGUGCGGGCAUCAUCUUUACUUUCAGCAUCAAAAUUCUUUUAUUUAAUACACUUUUAUUUUAUACAAUUUUUAUCAUAUUAAAAUCCUUUGUAAUUUAAGCUCUCUCGGACUUUUAAAAAUGUUAUGCCACCCCUUCUUUAGCAGUAAUAGUAUAUGAUUAUGAUUUAAUUAUUUUAUUUUUUAAUUUAUCAAACACCAAUCACUUAAAUUUAACCUAAGAAAAAAUUAGAACAUCAGAUAAUUUUAAUUGAUUCUUAUUAAGUACUAGAAUUAACUGCUCCCAAUGAUAAUUUAUUAAGCAAACCAUAGUGAUCAUCUUACACUAAAGAACCAACCCAUCUUCAAAACACAAGAAUUUAGUACAAAUAAUUAUCCCAAUAAAGUUUAACGAAAAAGGAAAGAGAUAUUUUUAUUAUUUCUUUUCCUUUCUUUCAUUUCAAUUUCUUGCCUCCUGAGCUCUUCUAAAAGCCAACCAAACCACUUAUUUAAAAAAAAAAAAAAGGAACCAGACAAAGCGCAAGAAAAAAAAUUAAAAAAUUCGCAGUCUACACACAUCCCAGCACCGUAUGCGUCCAAUAAUUCAUCUCCAAUAAUUGCCCCUAUAUGACCACCGGUUUGUACUUGCAUAUAUGUGAAACAGGAUAAAAUCACAAUGUGUCAUUUAAUUAGCAGAGGUAACAAGAUCCUACAGAAAAGGGUUUACAGGAAAAGAAAGGAAAAAAAAUUGUUACAACAUACAGAAACCCAAAUAUUCUACUGGCUAACCCCCAUUAAAAUUCGAAACCAUUCUUAAAUCUCAGCUUAUACUACUUCAUCAUUCCUUCUGUGUACCCCCAACUGAAUUUCUGGCAGAAAUCACAUUUCUUCGUUAGCCUCAACUCAUGCAUCUUUUACUUUUAAUCAAACAUACUUUUUUAUCUGCUGGGCUUUUUAACAAAGAAUAAUUUUCCUUAGAUCUUUUCUAAUAGACAAGAAAGCACAAAGCACAAAUAUCUAGGAAUGUUUUUGCCCUUCAUCAUAGCACUUGCAAAGGCUCCAGGGUAUAGAAGAACCUUGGCUACAAAUUCCUGGGAAGACUUCACUUAUAAUCAACUGGAAGGAUGUCACCUCUACGGGCGUUGUACAUUUUCCACUUCUACGUGGUAUCCUGCAGAAACAAACAAUAAAACACGUGUUAUACAAGUAUUUUUUAAGUAUGAAAUACAUCAAAAGCAUUUAUGAUGCCAUUAAGUUUAGUCAAUACAAUCUCUCAAGGCAGGACAAGAGAUUUGAGAUUCAAACUCCACCUACGUAGGAAAGGAAUGUCAAAAAGAAAUGCGGUUGGGAUAGGUUAUUACGUUUUAUUCUUUUUAUUACUAGAAUUGAAUAAUGCUGCCUUUGACAGUAAAAUAAACGUCAAGUGAUAAUUGAAUUAUAAAAAAGUGAGGUAAAUGGUGAGAAAUAAUCACCAUUAUAAUUUAUAAUAUAAAAUGAGGAAAUAAUUAUGGAAGAAAUGGAAAGAAUUACCUGAAAAGAGGGAUUUGGAAGACAAUGAGACAAAAAUAUAAGGAAGAAGAAAUCGAAGAUAUAAUGCCUGCCCAUUUCUUUGACGAACCUGUAAAAUGUCGUGAUUGAGGGAAUUAAACCGUAUGACGUUUAUGAAAUACUAACUAGGCAACCCAAGAGGGGGGUGAAUUGGGAUUUUAAAAAUUAUCCUAGGCAAACCACACAACAAUUUAAUCUAAUGCCUUAAUAAAUUCGAAAACAAUAAAUUCAAUAAAAGCACAAUAAUAAAUGAGUAAGGGAAGAGAAAGCAAACCCAAGGAUUUUUACGUGGUUCGGCAAUCCCCGCCUACGUCCACGCCUCCAAGCACACCGGGCUUGAGGAUUUUACUAAGCUAGCCUCCCAAGGCUUCAAACGCUUACAAUUGACUUCCAAGGUGUCAAUGGACCUUUACAACAAGAGAUUAUCCCCAAUCUCUUAACCCAAGUGUAUCCCAACACUUACAAUCUUUUAACUUGAUUUUACAAAAAAGAUUACAAAUGAAUCUCUCUCACACAAUGUGUUUGAUCACAAGUGAAAGCUCAAUGUGUGAAUGAAUGAGAUGAAUACAAAGAUUUAAAGCUCAAUGAAAGUUGUAUUCUCAAUAUUUUGCUCAAUGAUGAUCGUUGGAAUUCUUCUUGUUUGAAUUGGAUUGAGAUUAUUUAUAGUUGGAGCUGAAAAACUAGCCGUUAUAGACUGUCUGCUAGAAAACGGUUCGCCGUUAACCAUUAACGGUUAACCGUUUAGGCCGGUCAAAGUUACCGUUGGGCCAAUUUUCAAAUAAACGGUUAGCCGUUUAUUCUUACCCUUUCGCCGUUAAUUUCCAGAGACCUGCAAAACAAAUUUGGUUUAACCGUUCUUAUUAAACGGUUCAAGGUUAACAAUCUGGAAAUAAUCGGUUAACCGUUUUCAGUAAACGGUUCACCGUUAGUUUCCAGAAUCAUCAUUUUAAUAAUACUUUACAGAACAUGCUUUCUGGAAAUUAUCGGUUAGCCGUUUUAAAUAAACGGUUAGCCGUUUGCUACAGUGAUUGCUACAGUGAAAAUAUUUUCUAAAUUUAUAAUUUAACCCCAAAACUUUAUAAAACUUUAUUACGGCCCAAAACGUUAUGAAACUUUGCACAUAGGUCCAAUUUCAGAAUUUCUAAAUAAUACUUUGUUAAUCCCAAAACUUUUUGAAAUUAUGGUAUAGCCCAAAAUGUUAUGAUACUUUUCAAAUAAGUCCUUUACCAAGAUUUCAAGCAAUACUUGUUUAUUUCAAAGUUUUCAAAAUUCUUUCAAUUAAACCAUAAACUUUGAAAAACAACCAAUUUCAUAAAAUCAUUUUUCCAUUAAAUAUGAAACAUUUAUAAUGUGAAAAUAAUGAUUUAUUUAAAAAGAAUAAAAACAAUCAAUUUCAUAAAAUUAUUUUUCCAUUAAAUAUAAAACAUUUAUAAUGUGAAAAUAAUGAUUUAUUUAAAAAGAAUAUUAAAUAAUUUGAGCUUAAAAGAUUAAUCAUUCUUAAUCUUAUUUGUUAUCAUCAAAAUCAAUAUUAUGAAAAUAUAUAUGUUAACAGUUUACUUUGGCGGCCCCCAGUCUUGUCAAUCAGAGAAUAUGUUUUGGCCGAAAUUCACAAUUCUUACCACGUGAUUUAAUUAAAGCACACAGAAUUCGUAAUUUUCUCCAGACAAUUUAAAUUAAACCCGCACUCUUUAUGGACUCCACUUUUAAGAAGGAUAUUGCCCACCGAGCAAACUAACCAAAACUCUUUUCCCUUCUGCGUUCAUUCUCCAACUCGUUGUCACUUUGUUUUGCUCUUCCUCUCUAUAUGAUUUUUAAGAACUAUUAAAUGUUUGUUUGUUUCUUAAAAAAAAUGUUUGUUUUUUUUUGUAUUAGAUGAUUAUAAAUAUUUAUUUAAUUUUAUAUUUUUUUAAAUUUUUUAUUAUUGUUUCAUUAUUUUUUAGUAAAUUUUUAAAAAUUAAAUAAAUUAUUUUUAUUUCUGUUAAUAAAAAUUUAAACUUUAAAUUUUUGAGGGAUGAGAUUUAUUUUUUUUAAAUAUUAAAAUACUUAAAAUAUCUUUUAUUUAUGUAAUAAUUUUAUUUUAUUUUUUUGUUAAAUAAUUUUAAAAAAAAUUAUUUAUUAAAAUAAUUUUAUAAUUUUUAAUAAAAACUCUUAUUAUCAAUUAAAUAACUAAAAUUAUUUUCAUAAAAACUUUUAUAAUAAAAAUCCUACCACACCGCAGAGUCUGCACUUACCUGCGCGUACUGUUUAAAACCCCUCACCGGCUCUGCUCUCGCCACCAAUAUUAAGAAAGAUACUUUGUUGUGGUGGCAUUUUGGUAAAAAAUAUGGGCCCCCAAAAUAAUCAUAAUAAUUAAGGAUUUAGCUAUGUGGCAACGGGUACACCAUACACUUUUUUUUUUUUUUUUUUUGUGCUGCCACAGUUAGAUCCAACACAAAAGUAGUAUUAAGAGCAAGAUGUGUUUGUUUGUUUAUUAACAAUGCAAUCCCUAAUAUUUGUCAAAAAUUUUAAAAAGUUAAAGUUUAUAAAAUUUUGUGCCAAUAUUUUUUUCCCAAAUUCUCUUAGCACAAUUAAUUGUGUUAUGGUAUCCACUUUUGCAGGUUAUAAUCAAGAGAUCAGACAUGAUAGAUACAUAAAAAAUAAUAUAAAAUAAAAAAAUUUUGAAUUUUUGUUAAAGCUCUCAUUUCUAAUAAUUUGUUAAAAUAUUCUUUUACCUAAGAAAACAAACUCAUUGACAUAAUAAAAAGAGUUUUACUGAUAAAAUAAUAAUUAUUCAAUUAUUAGAAGUGCUACAGUUAGAUUUUUUUAAGUUGAAAAUGUAGAGAAGCAUGGAGGAGAAGAGGAGAAGAAGACACAUAAUAAAACAUAAAAAUUUUCAAUUUAUUUAUACCUGAAUUCCAUUGUAUGAUGAAUAGAUUGUAGGUACAAAAAUAUAUUUAUGUGAUUUUCUUUUAUAUAAAAAGUUCAAUUCAUUAUUGCUUAUAUGAUAUAGAGCAAAUUAAUCUUAAGGUAAUGAGAAAGUAGCUUCAAUGAGAAUGCCAAGCUUCUCUUAUUGAUUGUAAUUGAUUGAUUACAUAUUUAAUUAAAAAAAUUCAAAAGGACGUAGAGGUGAGGGUUUUGAAGAAAGAGAAAAAAGAAAUUACUUCAAUAAUUUGUAAAUACAGAAGAGAUUAGGGGGUCAAAAAAUACAAAAAGUAGGGUAUGGUGGACCCAUUGUACCGUAGCUCAACUCAAGCCAAUAAAUUAAUUGUUUUAUCCUAUAAAUAAAAAUUAAUGUUGUGUAUUUGCCUAUAACUUGAGGAGGUAAUAAAAGUCUUUCGUUAUACUCUACUGUUAGUUUCUCGCCUUUUAUUCCUCUGAAAUCUUUCAACAAAAAUGGGUGGCGUCAUCUCAACCUUCUUAUCAGCGGACACAAUUCGUCCAAUUUUAUCUUACGUUGGUGGAGAAGCUAAGUAUAUAUGGGGUCUAAAAGAUAAUCUUGAUGACUUGCAGACUCAGAAGGAGAAGUUGAUUGAGAAAAAAGAAGAUAUGCUGAAUGAGGUU
Molecule: long non-coding RNA, 15941 nt
Filed under: Citrus maxima (pomelo)
Lineage: Eukaryota; Viridiplantae; Streptophyta; Magnoliopsida; Sapindales; Rutaceae
Description: long non-coding RNA (CMAX_LNC000212)
Source: RNAcentral